CGCGGCCUAUCAGCUUGUUGGUGAGGUAACGGCUCACCAAGGCUUCGACGGGUAGCUGGUCUGAGAGGACGAUCAGCCACACUGGGACUGAGACACGGCCCAGACUCCUACGGGAGGCAGCAGCAGGGAAUAUUGCGCAAUGGGCGAAAGCCUGACGCAGCAACGCCGCGUGGGGGAUGAAGGCUCUCGGGUUGUAAACCCCUUUCAGUGGGAACGAAAAUGACGGUACCCACAGAAGAAGCCCCGGCCAACUACGUGCCAGCAGCCGCGGUAACACGUAGGGGGCAAGCGUUGUCCGGAUUUAUUGGGCGUAAAGAGCUCGUAGGCGGUUCGGUAAGUCGGGUGUGAAAACUCCAAGCUCAACUUGGAGACGCCACCCGAUACUGCUGUGACUAGAGUCCGGUAGGGGAGCGUGGAAUUCCUGGUGUAGCGGUGAAAUGCGCAGAUAUCAGGAGGAACACCAGCGACGAAGGCGGCGCUCUGGGCCGGAACUGACGCUGAGGAGCGAAAGCGUGGGUAGCAAACAGGAUUAGAUACCCUGGUAGUCCACGCCGUAAACGUUGGGCACUAGGUGUGGGGUCUUAUCAACGGAUUCCGUGCCGUAGCUAACGCAUUAAGUGCCCCGCCUGGGGAGUACGG
This 639-nucleotide ribosomal RNA is filed under the name uncultured bacterium. RNAcentral describes it as "bacterial SSU rRNA". It matches the Rfam family "Bacterial small subunit ribosomal RNA", at positions 232 to 885 of the family's 1533-position model. The record is from RNAcentral.